UCAUUCGUCCACAUGAUGCAUUAGUAGAUAAUUUUAUAACAACAGAUAUUUCUACUAGAGAAAUACAAUAAUUUAAAAUACAACCAUAAUACCUCGAUGUAAACAAGAUGCUACUAUGUCAAUGAUCAAAUGCUUAUCCUAAUUGCCACAAUGCUACCAUGUCAUAAUUCUACUUUACUAAUCACUUUAUUUCACACGUUGACCAACUUCUUGUUAACUUUCACUUUCUUACAUUCAACCUAUGUUCAUACUCUUUAUGCCAUAUGUCACUAUCUAU
Molecule: long non-coding RNA, 277 nt
Filed under: Ananas comosus (pineapple)
Lineage: Eukaryota; Viridiplantae; Streptophyta; Magnoliopsida; Poales; Bromeliaceae
Description: long non-coding RNA (ACOM_LNC013401)
Source: RNAcentral